AGUUAAUGAGCUUGAACAAGCAUAUGUUUUGAAAACAUAAGAUAGAAACCAAACUUUCUAUUAACUU
This 67-nucleotide transfer RNA is filed under the name Zeugodacus depressus (pumpkin fruit fly). RNAcentral describes it as "tRNA-Ser". The record is from RNAcentral. Lineage: Eukaryota; Metazoa; Arthropoda; Insecta; Diptera; Tephritidae.